ACAAUAGUUUCCGGUGUAGAAACUAUUGUGCGAAAAGAAUUAACUAAAUGCUAAAAAGGAAAAUGUAAAUUGCAAGGGAAAUAGUGUAGAACUUGUAAAAAAAUAAAUAAAGAAACAAUGCCUAAUUUGCUGGAAAAGAAAAUUGCAAAAGCGAAAAACGGCAAAGGAAAAAAUUGGAAAAGCUUCGGAACCACCUUAGGUUUUAAAAGUGGCUAUUUAUAUUGGUGUCAUUAAGUAACUGC
Molecule: long non-coding RNA, 242 nt
Filed under: Lathyrus oleraceus (garden pea)
Lineage: Eukaryota; Viridiplantae; Streptophyta; Magnoliopsida; Fabales; Fabaceae
Description: Pisum sativum (pea) long non-coding RNA (PSAT_LNC031578)
Source: RNAcentral